This 1223-nucleotide long non-coding RNA is filed under the name Parus major (Great Tit). Its description in RNAcentral is "lncRNA (ENSPMJG00000005949.1)". The record is from RNAcentral. Lineage: Eukaryota; Metazoa; Chordata; Aves; Passeriformes; Paridae.
CCUUCCCCAGUGCUGAAAGCAUUGCUUUCCACAUGUGCCCCCUCCUUCUUCUGCCUUCACGUGCUGCUUAUUAUAUCCCCCCAUUUUUAAUUAUAUCUUGAUUUUCGUAAAAUGAUAAUUUGUUGUUAUGUUUCUGGAAUGCAAACGUGAGCGUAAUGGGAUCUAUUUUUCAGAGUUGCCAAAACAAAUUAAGGAGAACGUUCGGCUCUUCCUUUGCCAAAUGUUUUAGUGUUUUUCCAUGAAAGCAAAUCUUAUUUCGAACUGUAUAUUAAAGCUUAAGUAAAUAAUGCAGCCUGUGAGUAGCAAAUUCUAUUGUAAAAUCAGUUACUGUUUGCAGGCUUUGCUGGUGAUACCUGCGCAGGGCUCUGCCUGGGAAGAAUCAGGGUAACAAUGAAAUGUUGUUCAUUUUAAUUUGCCUUUUGCAGAGCGGGAAAAGCUGAACUUUUUUUCCCGAGUGCUGGACGCAGCCCCCAUAAAUAUGGAGCAUUUGUUGUGGCCGCCUGACGGAUGCCCAGGUAAAUGGGCUUUUGAACACGCAGACAGCCGCCAGAAAGGAAAAAAAAAAAAACAAACCAAAACAAAAACAACAAAAAAACGAAACCCCAAGAUUUUUUGCAAAUUCAGGAAACACUUGAGAGGUAAAACCAACAUCCUGAGACAGGAGACAAGGCCAGCUUUUGACACCGGGCUGGACCUGCGAGGCCGAAGGAAACCUGGAGCCAGGAAGCGGCCGCUGCCGGGGUCAGGCCGCGGGGGACCCCGCUCCUCGCCGCGCACCGCAGGCCCCCACCGGCCUUUUCAUGGGAAAUUUGCUGAAAAUUUGCUGAUCUGCAUGAAACAUUUAUUGGAGGGGGAGAGGAAGAGCCUUUCCUUGGCUUCUUGUGGGUUCCUGGUUCAUAUGGCACUAAGUGGGGAGCAUAAUGUAUGCGAGGAGGCGGCAGGGCUCAGAGGCCCCGCGUCCAUUUUUUUCCUCACUGUGUGAUACACAUGGAAAAUUAUCAAUACCUCGCUCUAGCAGAUUCCUUCAAUUUGCCUGUAUUUGUUCAAACUUUUGAGAGAGCACCGGAUGUUUAAUGCUUCAUUUAUGAUUUAUGCUCCAUAAAUGUAUUAAAACAUUAACCAUAUUUCUGCUAUGGCAUACUUGAAUCCUCCCGGGGAAAAGCCGGAGUGUUUCUCAGGCUGCUACUCCGGCUUCCCUGAGGAGCGAGAUUAUUUGUGUUGUG